RNAcentral lists this ribosomal RNA (502 nucleotides) under uncultured bacterium. RNAcentral describes it as "partial 16S ribosomal RNA". It matches the Rfam family "Bacterial small subunit ribosomal RNA", at positions 28 to 507 of the family's 1533-position model. The record is from RNAcentral.
GACGAACGCUGGCGGCGUGCCUAAUACAUGCAAGUCGAACGAACCGCGACUAGGUGCUUGCACUUGGUCAAGGUGAGUGGCGAACGGGUGAGUAACACGUGGGUAACCUACCUCAUAGUGGGGGAUAACAGUCGGAAACGACUGCUAAUACCGCAUAGGACAUAGGAUCACAUGAUUCUGUGAGGAAAGGUGGCGCAAGCUAUCGCUAAGAGAUGGACCCGCGGUGCAUUAGCUAGUUGGUAGGGUAAAGGCCUACCAAGGCGAUGAUGCAUAGCCGACCUGAGAGGGUGAUCGGCCACAUUGGGACUGAGACACGGCCCAAACUCCUACGGGAGGCAGCAGUAGGGAAUCUUCCGCAAUGGACGCAAGUCUGACGGAGCAACGCCGCGUGAGUGAAGAAGGUCUUCGGAUCGUAAAGCUCUGUUGUUAGAGAAGAACAGCGCAUAGAGUAACUGUUAUGCGUGUGACGGUAGCUAACCAGAAAGCCACGGCUAACUACGUG